This 497-nucleotide ribosomal RNA is filed under the name uncultured bacterium. RNAcentral describes it as "partial 16S ribosomal RNA". It matches the Rfam family "Bacterial small subunit ribosomal RNA", at positions 28 to 507 of the family's 1533-position model. The record is from RNAcentral.
GAUGAACGCUGGCGGCGUGCCUAAUACAUGCAAGUCGAGCGAACGGACGAGAAGCUUGCUUCUCUGAUGUUAGCGGCGGACGGGUGAGUAACACGUGGAUAGCCUACCUAUAAGACUGGGAUAACUUCGGGAAACCGGAGCUAAUACCGGAUGAUAUUUUGAACCGCAUGGUUCAAAAGUGAAAGACGGUCUUGCUGUCACUUAUAGAUGGAUCCGCGCUGCAUUAGCUAGUUGGUAAGGUAGCGGCUUACCAAGGCAACGAUGCAUAGCCGACCUGAGAGGGUGAUCGGCCACACUGGAACUGAGACACGGUCCAGACUCCUACGGGAGGCAGCAGUAGGGAAUCUUCCGCAAUGGGCGAAAGCCUGACGGAGCAACGCCGCGUGAGUGAUGAAGGUCUUCGGAUCGUAAAACUCUGUUAUUAGGGAAGAACAUAUGUGUAAGUAACUGUGCACAUCUUGACGGUACCUAAUCAGAAAGCCACGGCUAACUACGUG